This 253-nucleotide ribosomal RNA is filed under the name uncultured bacterium. RNAcentral describes it as "partial 16S ribosomal RNA". It matches the Rfam family "Bacterial small subunit ribosomal RNA", at positions 524 to 776 of the family's 1533-position model. The record is from RNAcentral.
CACGUAGGCACCAAGCGUUGUCCGGAUUUAUUGGGCGUAAAGAGCUCGUAGGCGGUUCGUCGCGUCGGCUGUGAAAUCCCGAGGCUCAACCUCGGGUCUGCAGUCGAUACGGGCGGACUGGAGUUCGGCAGGGGAGACUGGAAUUCCUGGUGUAGCGGUGAAAUGCGCAGAUAUCAGGAGGAACACCGGUGGCGAAGGCGGGUCUCUGGGCCGAUACUGACGCUGAGGAGCGAAAGCGUGGGGAGCGAACAGG